This is a long non-coding RNA of Petromyzon marinus (sea lamprey), 2092 nucleotides long. RefSeq lists it as uncharacterized. The record is from RefSeq and is a predicted model, not a curated record. NCBI's taxonomy places the organism in Eukaryota, Metazoa, Chordata, Hyperoartia, Petromyzontiformes, Petromyzontidae.
UCCGGGGCUUGUCCAAUGGGCGGGCGGCUUACGUCGCGCGCGGCCAGAUGCCGAUUAGCCCCGCGCGGCCAAUGGGAGGCGCGCUUACAUCGCAAGAAGCCUCGCGCUGAUUACACGCAGGAAUGUAAACUAUUCAACAUGGCCGCCGCGAUGGCCAGCCGAGGCGGUGAUCCGGAUCAUUGGUCAUCAUCGCUACUUCACGACGCCUUCCUGCGUUUCCUCCCUGACAAAGCACCUCCCAUUAAUUUACAAUUAUGCCAUAAUCACGUAAAAUAAACGUUACAAUUUUACUUAUAUGUCUUCAGGAGGUUUAAAUGCAAUGUUUCGAGAAAAUAUUGCAAUCGUCCGUUAAUUUUACCAUAAUUUUCUUUUUAAAGUGUGGCUGUUUUGAAUAAUCAACUUUUUCCAAUGGGAAUGGCAUUUUAAUGGCUUACUAUAAGUAUUCUGUUGUUACAUGACAAGUGUGCAGCACAUAAAGAGGAGAGAUCUUUGGUGGGGUCACAUAGGUACCACCUUCGCGAGUUCAAUUCAUUUUAAUAAAUAAAAACAUUGUAGUAAGUAUCCGUUAGGAUUGACGUUUUCCUUAUCUCUCUGAAGGGUUCUCAGAGGUUGUCUUGGAUGUUGUUUGCCGUGACGUCCAAAGUUGUUGCUGCAUGUGCCGGGAGCUUCUGCAGGGAACCGAGUUUUGAGUUCGUGAAGAAGUUCCCAGCACGAAGAGAGCAAAAAUGCCGAACAUGUUGAACAACACGCGGCACAACCCUGAAACGCUUCAGAAAGCUAGACAGCGCAACUGUGACACCUAUAAUGUUACUUGUCUUAGGCCGAAAGUCAGAUUCUUCAAUAGGAGAUUUCACAGUGGAUUUCGUAUCAUCAUUACAACACUCACUUUUUCGACGGAAGCUCAGCGUCCCCCCGCUGUCCUUUUUAUAUUGUGCUACUGUGUCCUCUGCGAAGUAGUGCAAUGUGAAAAGGGCAUUGGGGAGUCGCGCCUUUCGCCUGGACUCAUCCACUGCUGCCUUGGUCGUGUGGCAACUUGCAAGCCCCUGCUGGAGGCUCUGACACCAUUGCACUACUGUACGCAAUGGUGAGCAGUGCAAUUGUAUUGUCAAAGCUUCCGUCGGUGAGCCCAUGCGAGAUUCCAUUGGAAGCUAUCAUCACUCGCCUUGGUCAAUCCACUGCUGGGUGAAGGCCUUCUGCCGCUACCACCAUCCUUCACGAUCCUGCCAUGCAACAAUCUCCUUGACAUGUGCGCACGAGCCGAUGUCAUUACCCCAAUCUCGGAUGAUGUUUUCUUGGACACACUCCUCUCCUUGGUGGUCACUCCCAUUAUUUUUGAACCAUCUGCCAUCAUGCCUUCAUGGUCAACGCGGUUCUACCAUGGCCCCCCUGAAAGCUAAACUUCUACAUUAUGUUUUGCACAGCUUCGCUGUGUUUGUGGGCACCUCUUGCUUAUACUAUUUCUGAUUAGUAGGCCAUAAUCCUGCUGAUUAGACUCAAUAGUCAAAAUUAGGCAAAUUUUGUGUAAACAAGCUUUUGGAUAACUGGUCCAGAAGGCACGAUGUUUGAUUGAUGAAGACCCUACUCUACUUAUUGUUAAUAUAACAGCAGCUGUUUCACAUUUUCCAUGGUGGUAAUGUUAUGGUACAAAAACGAGCAUAUAUCAUGAUGUGCAGAAUUAUUGCCACCGGUAAGGCAAAUUUGAUCUGGUAUGCAGAAAAAAACCUGAUGAGGUGGAGAGAAUGAAACCACGGUAAAAGUCGUCUAUAAUCUCCCAUACAAUGCGAACAUCUUGUUGAGCAUGUGAGUAUAUUUGAUCCCAUAUUAAAACUUGUAAAAGGCAUUGUAAUUGCAGUUAUGAGUGAUUAUUUUCUCAUCCCUUGCACCAAGGCAGACAACUCGCACACGUGGGCUAUGUUACAAUAUCAGCUGCCAUGUCACGGAGUGUGACAUGAACACUGUGCCAGGCUAGGUGUAAUAGCGAAAGUUUACUGGAUGGUGAUGGGACAGGUCUAUCGUCAGAUAACCCAGGCCUUUAGUGUUUGACGUGAAAAUAUUGAGUUUUAAAUGGGAAAAAUAAAAAAAACAAGUUUCA